AUGUCUGAAUAUUUGCAGAGGACAUUCACUUCUACAGCAGGGUUUGCAGAGGGGUUCACUUCUUCAGCUCCGAAUUCUGUUUGCUGUUACAUCCUUCGCAGAGGGGUCGCCGAGGUGCUGCUUGGUUGUUAUGCCAAGUGCAUUGAUCUCUUGAGGGAGAAAGAGCGCGACAUCUGGAAUGCCAUCAAGUUUGGUUCUGUGCUGGAAAAUGUCAUAUUCGAUAAGCGUACACGAGAGGUGGAUUAUAAUGAUGGUUCUAUUACUGAGAAUACUCGUGCAGCCUAUCCCAUUGAGUACAUCCCAAAUGCCAAGAUACCAUGCGUUGGUCCUCACCCAAAGAAUGUGAUACUUUUAGCAUGUGAUGCAUUUGGUGUACUCCCACCUGUGAGCAAGUUAAACUUGGCACAGACCAUGUGCCAUUUCAUCAGUGGCUAUACUGCUCGGGUUGCUGGAACCGAAGAGGGUGUGAAGGAGCCAAGGGCAACAUUCUCGGCUUGCUUUGGUGCUGCGUUUUUGAUGUUGCAUCCUACCAAGUAUGCAGCAGUGUUGGCUGAGAAGAUGCAGAAGCAUGGUGCAACUGCAUGGCUAGUUAACAUGGGAUGGUCUGGUGGAAGGUAUGGAACGGGAAAGCACAUUAAGCUAUCUUACACCCGGAAAAUCAUUUGUUGCCAUACACUCUGGCAGCCUUUGGAAUGCAAAUUACAAGAAUGAAGUUUUUGGACUUGAGAUCCCCACUGAGAUUGAGGGAGUGCCUUCAGAGAUGCUGGAUCCGGUGAAUACUGAAUACUGUAAGUAACUUUGGUCGGACAAGAAGGCAUACCAGGAAACACUUCUAAAGUUGGCUGGCCUAUUCAAAUCCAACUUCGAGACUUUCACCAACUACAAGAUUGGCAAGGACAACAAGCUGACAGGAGACAUCCUCGCUGGUCCGAAUUUCUAAAAAAGUUUUAAUGGUUGUGGUAGAGAAUAAGAUUGAGUGUAGUCUUUGUUUUUUUUUGGUGGUUGAAAUAAUAUUCUGUUCAAUAGGAGUAGUCGUUUUAUUGUUGAGAGGUUGAGCAAAAUGAUCAUAUGUAGCGCAGGGCGUGUUUCUAAUACAUUGAAAAAAUCGUUUUCUUCUUUCUUAUCUCUUACCCUCGUUCAAGCCGCUACUUUAGGUUAACAAAGUAGAAUAAAUUGGAAUACUUCAAACCCAACUUUCAGAAGUUCUAUCAAAACAAAAUUAAAAGGCAGGGAUAUAUAUAAGAGCCUAAAAGAUUACCAAAUCAAUUUGCUCAAGGGGGAUUUGGCAAGAGCACAAUUUCACAAUAUCCUGCUUAUUACAAGAUUACAAGUUGAAAGUUUGAAUUAGGGUAAAAUAUUGUAUAAUCCUGCUGGUUUAAAGUCGACAUCUGUUUAGUCCCCCUUAUGAUUUUAUUUUAAUCUGAAUAGUCUUUAAAGUCAUGAUUUUUCAUCCAAAUAGUCCUCAACAGAUGUUGACUUCAAACCACAAGAACUAAACAAAUUUCAAUUCUUUGAAUUAUAAGGGAUAGAGCCAGCAUCUAUAUUAUAGAUUAUAGUUGUUUGAUGUCAUGCCACCAAGGUCUAGAAUCACAUCUCAAAAUAGCCUCAUAUGUUAUUGGCCCCAAUCCAUCGGAUGUCUGCGAAGGGUUGUAAUCGGCCGUAAUCUAAAAAGAAACGAACUGAUGAAACCCCUAAAAUCUCACAGAUUGAACACCCCAACCCCAGUAGG
Fragaria vesca subsp. vesca is the source of this 1729-nucleotide RNA transcript. It is a transcript of the gene named phosphoenolpyruvate carboxykinase [ATP] 1-like, with no coding region annotated. The record is from RefSeq and is a predicted model, not a curated record. The transcript is spliced from 6 exons. NCBI's taxonomy places the organism in Eukaryota, Viridiplantae, Streptophyta, Magnoliopsida, Rosales, Rosaceae.